UUAUUCAAUACCAGAGUACAUAAAUCAG
This 28-nucleotide non-coding RNA is filed under the name Drosophila melanogaster (fruit fly). Lineage: Eukaryota; Metazoa; Arthropoda; Insecta; Diptera; Drosophilidae. The record is from RNAcentral.